GUAUAAAUAUCAAUUUUACCCCAUGCUUUAUUUUUCAAACCCCAUGCCUAAGUUGCUACCCAGAGACCAGCUGCAUUCAUUCCCUUUGUGACAGCAGUGGUUUGCAGCUCCUUUCACCUGCCUGAGACACAGCUGCACCAGUGUCAUCAGAAACCCCAUCCCCAAGAGGAUAGGACUGUGUCACCUCGCUGAAGACAGGAGACAGAAAAGGCAGCACCCUGUGCAGGUCAUGGUUCUGUGCUGACUCACUGGGCCAUGGGUGUUAGAGGCACGUUGCACCAUACCCUGUACCUGAGCUAUGAGGGCGCUGGGAUCACACUGGCACUGGAGUGGACAGGCAGUGAAGCAGAACCAUCCUCCAGCACAGACAGCUUCACUGCACCUGUGGAAGCCUGGAUAGAGCAGAAGUCUGGCUGAAAAGAGCUCUUCCUUUCCCUCUGGUUGAUGGUCUUCAAGCUGGGAUGCUGGCCCAUCUCAACCCUGAUUUAAAGACUGAGAACAAAGCAUAAAUCAUCCUGGAUCCCAGGCCUUGGGCCUUUGACGUCAGCUUUGUGUCAGUGCAGUUCCUGAGGCAGUUAGUCUGUAAAGAAAAUGGCUUCAUUCAGCUUAUGGCCCUGGAGGGAGCAGUCGCAGGACUGGCAACACCAUUGCUUUGGGUCCUGGUGAGGGACCAGGAAUGGGAAAGAAGCCUACUGAGACUCUGGUCACAUGGACAGGAUGGAAACUGAGGCCACCCUGUCCUGGAUCGCAGCAGCAUCUUCAUCACUCACCAAAACCCCUUCCGGACCUGGUCCCGAGCGUGGAGUUCCAGGUGCGCAGCUGUUACUUCCCUCCUGAUCUAGUCAUGUCACAUACCAUUUUAUCAGAGGCAGAGCUGACAGCUUGGACAAGCUGUUUUACUUCCUGACUAGAGCUUCUCUGAGAAUGAAACACAUUUUUGUGGUCCUGUGUUUGCAGCGUGUGUUAGGAAGUUCAUGCUGCCAUUGUUAUACAUAAUCAACUAGAUGGUGAGAACAACAGGGACCUAACUCUCUGUUCUGGAGCCUGAGGCCAGAUGAUCCUGCUCCUAGCAUGAUCUCUUCCGGCUGUCCCUGUGACUCACAGGGCAGAAUAGGAUCCCAAUGCCAUCUCUCCUCUCCUUGGAAGAGUACAUGUCCCACUCAGAGGCCAUCCUCGUGAAAACAGCCCAGUCUGAUUAACCCUCGAAAGUACCUUUCCUGACAUCUUAAUAGACAGGGGGACACAGCCUGGCAUCGCCACUCCAAGGCAGAAUACAGCCAAGCACAUGCAGGGCUUGAGGCCUCAGAAGACCCGCCACCCAGGAGGCUGGGAGUCCAGCAGGAUCAGCACCUGGAGCUUUCUGCACGUGAUAUGCGUGGGCAGGAGGAGACAUUAUCCUGAAUUGUCCCUGUGCAAGUAAGCUGUAUCUGUCUACUUCGGGCACCACGGCAUGGGCAGGACCUGUGGACAACAGCAUUGUACCAUGAAUCAAUCACAUGCUGUAGAUCCAGCUCUGAAUAAGCCCCAGCUAAGACCACAAGAGGCUUUGGGUGACAUCUUUGUGCAAGAUAUAAGACCUUCACAAAAUGAAAUAUCUUCAGAUGAUUUCUCUAGAAAAUACGAGUUAAGAACUUACAAUUUAUACUCAUAAUCUGUAUGGAAUUAGUCCAAGUCUGCUCAGUAUCAAGUAAUAGACCUUAUCAGGAUAUAAAAAAGAGAAGUCAAUGCAAUUAGGGAUGAAAAAAUGAAAUCACAAUAAACAUCACUGAAAUCAAUAAAAUUAAUAGCAAGUAUUUCACAAACCUAAAUGCUGAAAAACUGGAGAACUUGGAAGAAAUGGAGAGAUUACUAGAUACAUAUGAAUUGCCAAGAAUGAAUGAAGAGAAUUCAAAAAUCUUGAAUAGCUCAAUAGCAAGCAAUGAAAUUGAAGUAGUAAUAAAAAACUCAUCAACUGAGAAAAGCCUAGCACCUUUCAGAUUCACAGAUGAAUUCUAUUAGAAUUUCAGGGAAGAUCUAACAACAUUAUCCCUCAAAUUGUUGAAUGAAAUCAAGAGGAAAGUAAUACUCUCCAAAUCAUUCUUGUAGGUUAACAUUGUAUUGAUCUUGAAACCAGACAAGGAUUAGACUACAGAAGAGAACUAAUACCAGUCUUUCUAAGCUAUCCUAUGCAAGGAAAGCAAAGUAGAGGCGUCUCAAUCCCAGAUUUGAAGCUAUACUACAAAGUUAAAUGAUUAAAACAGCACGCUACUAUCACAAACACAGACAUGUAGAUCAGUGGAACAGAACAGAGGAAGCAGAAAUGACAUACACUGGAGGAAAGAUAGCCUCUCUAAACUGGUGCCAAGAAAAUUGCACAUCCACAUGCAGAAGAUUGAGCCUAGACCCAUACAGGUCAUCAUGCAUUAAACUAAAAUCAAGAUGCAUCAAAAACCUAACUGUUGGCCAGAGACACAUCUCAGCAGUACAACUGCCUGUCUGGUAAGCACAAAGUCCUGAGUUUGAUUCCUGGUACACACACACACACAAAAAAAAAAAAAAAAAAAAAAAAAAUUCCAACAUUUAAAACAGAAACUUGUCACCUGCUGGAAGAUAAAAUCUGUAAAACUCUUAUAAACACAAGUGUAAGCAACAAUUUUCUGAACAGAACCCCAGUGGCAAGAACCAACAAAUAUGACCAUAUCAAACUAAAAAGCUUCUAAACAUCAAAGAAAACCAAUAAAAUGAAGAGGAAACCUACAAAAUUGGGGGAAAUUUUGCCAGCUCUUCUUCAGAUAGAGGACUAACAUUUAGGAAAACAAUUAGACUUCCCAAACAAAAGACUCAGUCAAAAAAAAAAUGGGCAGUGAAGAUGAAUAAACACUGCUCACAGGAUAAAGGGUCAAUAAAUAUAUGAAAAACUGUGCAGCAUCGCUGGCUGUCAGAGAAACGCAGACUAAAACCACAUUGAUAGACCACCUUAACCAGAGAAAAUGACUGUCAUCAAAUGAAAACCAAAUAAUGAUGAACACUGAUGAGGCUGUGAGGAGUAAGGAACUCUUCUGCAUCAUUUGUAGGGGUGCAGACUGGUGAACACAUGAUGGAAAUCAGCAUGAGGAUUCCUCAAAGAACUAUAACCUGGCUGUUAUCACUCCAGAAGAGCUCAAGUCAUCGUACUAUAAGGUGGCACAUCUACCCAUAUCUACAGCAGCACAAUGCACUACACCUACAUCUUGGAAGUGGCUUACAGUGUCCACCUACAGGAGAAUGGAGAAGACCAAGGAAAGUGCAGUGCUGAGUUUACACACAGCAGAGCCCUGCCCUUCCGUAAAGGUAAACUUGGGGCAUUCACAGACAAAUGGAAGCAGUCUGAGAACACAGGUUAAGUGAAAUAAGUCAACACCCAAACUUCAACAUCACAAAUUUUCUCUUACAUGAAAAACUCAAGAUACACACAUACACAGAAGGGGGAGUGCAAGCGCAAAACAGAAGUUAGAUAAACAGGAAGUAGUGAGAAGGACAGUGAUGCCUCAAAUUACCUAUGUUCCAUUGUUCCAAAACAUUUUAACAUGUAUGUUAAUGGGCUUCAUUUAUAUUACCAACUUCUCUCAGUUCAUUGAAGAGAAAGUUAUGUGCUUUCAUCUUAUGGCUUCUUUUAAGUCUUUUCUUUAUUGACUUGUACUCAGAGUAAUAGUUUGGUGAUUCUUUUAAGAUUAUGAUACAGUGGCCAGGUGUGGUGCACAUGUCUAUAAUCCCAGCACUGGGGAGGCUGAGGCAGGGUUAGGGUUUGGGUUCAGGUAGGCGUUAGGGUUAGACACUAUUCUGAGCCACUUAGAGUUCAAAUCCAACGUGGACUACAUAACAAGACCCUGUCUAAAAAAAACAAAAAGAUUAUGAUAGUGUGUUAACUACUCUCAGUCUCUAAUAAUUUUCUCAUGAAACUUUUUUUUAACUUUUUCAUGGAAGGUACUGUUUUUUAUCAAUAUCUUUUGCAUUAUACUAAAAUAAAAAGGGUGUAAUUUCUGAAUUUAUGAAAUAGAAAUGUCUUGUCUAACAUAUGGAUUUACAUUAGCAUAGAACGUAUUAACUGAGACUUUGUAGAAAACUGGAGAUAUAAGGUUUUUUAAAGCUGAUAUGUUAGAAACUCAUCACUGUGAUAAAUACUUGAGAUGAUCAAUUUGCAGAGAAGGGAACUGGGUGUAGCAGCUCACUUCUAGUACUAGGGCAACUGAUACAGGGCGAUCUCAGGUUUGAGCCCAGCCAGGCCAAUUUAGUGACUUAGCAAGAGUGAAAGUGGGCCUGUGGGAUGGGGGCAUAGCUCAGGGUUAAGACCCUGGCCCCUCCCUACGCACCACAUGAAGAAAGGAGAAGAGGUUCCUCUGGGCUCAUGCUUUUGAGGUGCACUACAUCUGACUCAUUGCUCUUAGGACCCUGGGGCAGGAAGGGCAGCACGGCACCCCCUACAACAGGGAGCAGAGCAGAGAAGGACCAGCCAUGGCCCUGCCUCACCCUCCAGGUGCCCCGAGACCUGGCGAGGAUCUUCACCUCCUUAAGUUUCAGGAUCUCCCAGCUGACCACUCAACCUGCAAGCCUUCCGCACCCAGCCCUGGAAAACAUUUAAAAUCCAGACUGCAGCAUCACAUUUAAAGAGAAAAAAUAACAAUAACAAAAUAGUUUCAAAACAGGUUCCUGGGAGAGUUUUGAUAAAUUGCUCUCUUCCUAGGAGGUAUUCAGAGUAGAGGAUACAAGCAUGAUAUUUUGUCUAGACAAUAUUAACACAAACCUUUCUCUUCAAUGAACUAAGAGAAACUAUCUGUAUAACUAUCUUGUGUGUGUAUAUGUAUGUAAUAUAUAUAUAUAUAUAUAUAUAUAUAUAUAUAUAUGACCUAGUGUGACAUCCAUUUACAUAUAAAAGUCUCAAGUUUAUACUUUUUUAUGGAUCAGCAUUACUCCAAACCAAAACAUAAUUUUUUAUCUAUUCCUCAGUUGAUGGGCAGUUGGGUUAUUUCCAAGAUCAGGCUAUUACAAAUUGUGCUGCUAUGAACAUGGAUGCACAUAUAGUGUUGUGGUGUGAUGUUUUUAAUUCUUCUGUUAAGAUACCCAGAAAGAGAAUAGCUGGGUUGAAUGUGAUCUCCAAUCCUAGUUUUCUGAGUACUCUCCACAGUGGUUAUACCAGUCUACAAUGUCACCAACAGCGGAGAAAGGCUCUUUUACCCCACGGUAUCUCUAACAUUUGUUAUUGGCUGAUUUCUUGAUGAAAGCCAUUCUUUCUGGAGUAAGAUGGAAUCUCAGUGUUGUUUUAAUUUGCAUUUCUCUAAUGAUCAAUAGUGUUCAACAUUUUUUCAUAUAUUCACUUGAUAUUUGUAUUUCUUCAUCUGAGAAGCAUGAAUCCAUCUAAGACGCUCAGCUUUGGACUGGUUCUUUGAAUCUGAGGUAUCUGAUUUUUUUUUUCAGUUCUUUAUAACUUCUAGAUAUAAAGUCCUUUGCCUGAGGGACAACUGGCUAUAAUCUUCUCCCAUUCUGUGGGUUGUCUUUUCAUCCUGCUGAUGAUUACUUUUGUUGUACAAAAGCUUUUUAAUAAGGUGAGAUCCCACUUGUACAUUGUUUGUAGUAUUUUCCUUGUAGUCAGACUCUUGUUCAUGUCCUCUGCCUACACCUAUGUCUUCAAGAUUAUGUUGUAUAUUUUAUAAGAAUUUAAAAAUGCUUGGGACUUUUCUAACUUUUUUAUGCUUGAAUUUCAUGAAAAUUUUUUGUAUACAUUCUUGUUAUUGUGGGUGUGCAGUCCUAAUAGAAUAAGGGAGCAAUCAGUCUUGCUCAAGGAUAGGACCCAGGAAAAGGCUGGGCGGAGAGGCCAAACCUGUGCAGGCUGGGCAGAUGAUUGACUGUUUCAGUCUGUGCAGGGCCAAGCAGGGAGGCUGUCGAGGGGCUGAGAAGUAGAAUGUCAGGUGAAGACGGCCACCCAGUCAAACUGCCUGGCCACUCCCUGAACAUGAAGUUAUUCCACGACAACAGGAUUGGGAGGAAUACUUCAUCAUCACUGGAAAUAGAUGGGUUUAAAAACCCCUGGAAAGUCACCCAGGAACAGCCAGGAGCACACUCAGUAAGACACAGCAUGUUUAGCCCCAUGAGAGAUGAUCCUGAUUACAAUGAGAGCACAGCCAGAUAAUAAUUCCAUGCAUUUACAUUUUUGUGGUCCCCAAAAAAUUCUCCCUCUGGCAGGAGAUCUUUUCCCUUGUAAAUUCGAGCUGAGCACAGCAUAUCCCUCUGCACUCUCUUUUCCUCCCAGGUGGUGGUUCAACACUGCUUUCUUGUCAUCAGCAUCACCUUCAACAAAACAUUUUCUUCUCUUGUCCAGUUACACACCACAUAAAGAUGCCUGUCCUUGGUGUUUCUUAGUUCAACACCAUGCGUGACACGAUUGGCUGUAAAUCAUGGACGUUGUCCAUAGAUUUGGGAGACUUACAGUUGAUAUUUGCUCUGCUCUGCUUCUUCUUAUGUCAGGUGUCCAGUGGGGACAGCUGAGGAGCUCCUCCUCCUGAGACCCUGCCCAUCCGCCUGGGUUUACAGCACCAUUUUCUCCAGGAAUUUUAGUCUUCUCUUGGCUUAGCAUUGAAUGAGAAGAGAUUGUCAUAAACUUGUGCAGCUGUCCUCAGGCAGCCUGGAAGGACAGGUCCUCCCUUUCUGGAAAGCAUGGUGGCCCAGGCUCCUGGAGACCCAGUGCUGCACACAGCCAGCUGUGCUGUGCCAGCGACCCAGGCCAGUGCAGCAGGACAAGAGCAACCUUGGGUGGGUGGAAGGACAGUGCUCUCCUGCCUGGUGUGGAGACUCGUGGGGUGACUCCAGGCUCCAAGCUCUGCCUCUGUGUGUGCUGCAUCAUGUCCUCUGCAGCACUGCCAUGGGUGCCAACUUGGAAGAAAAAAUAAACAAAGAAUGCGUCAUGUUGUGCCUCUACACAUGUUUUGUUUUGGUGCAUACUAUCCCAGCCUCCUGGGAGGUCCCUGGCUUCUCAUUCGGACCCCACUUGCCUUGGUCUUUGGUCUCCUUUUCAGGGAAUCUAAAUGCUUGGCUCACAGCACACACUUGUAAAUUUCCGUGGGAACCAGGACUCACCUUGAAAUAUAAGACAACAUUCCUGCCAGAGCGCUGGACCCCUCGGGGCUGCAAUGGUCACUGUGCUGGCCUCACCAUCAGGCUGCAGUGGGUGAAUUUCGGGACUCCCUGGGGUUCACUGAAAAUGUGAGCAUCUGGAAGAGGAAAGGCCCUCUCCACAGUGUCUGCCACCUUGUUUACUUCCUCUUUGAUUUGUGUGCUUCUGUGUUACUUUCUCUAAGGCAAGAGAGAGGUCAUCCCAAUUCAGACUCCAGAAAGUGUAUUUUGCGUAUCCUAAAAUCUAAACUCUAAGUUUUUUUUUUAAAUCUAAGAUAAAAAACAUUUAUUAGAGGCAAUAAUAUGUCAACAACCCCAGAUAACCUCAAUUGUAAGUGCUUUUAUACUUUAUUAAUGAAUUCCAAACUCAUCAAGAAUCAAUGACUUAACUAAUUUCUCUUAAUGCCAGUUGCUACCUUGGGAAUAUUAGUGUUAUUGAUUUCAGAGAGAAUAUCCAAGACCACUGGGUGAGGGGUUGAGGGCCAUCCCAGGAUGCUCUGCUGCCCCACAGGCAGGUGGCGGCUCCACAGCCUGCUAAUCAGCAGAGUGCAGCAGUCAGAAAGCAGAGGUGCUGUAAAUGGGAGCUACAUGCCAGAUUCCAGAGGCUGACUAUGGAAAGUAGAAUGUAAAUUAUCUCAUCAACAGUUUCUACAUAAAUUAUGUGUUGAUAUGAUAGAUUUUGGCUAUUUUGAGCUUACAGAAAUGUACUAUUAAAUUAAUUUCACUUGUUCUAUACUAAUAUGAUUACAUGAAAAUAACAAAUUACAUACUUGGUGUGCAUUAUGUUUCUGCUAGGAAGCGCUGAGAAAGACAUUUCAGGGGUGCCAUGGCAAGAUUAGAACCUGCAUUCUCUGUGCUGUGUUACCAUGACUAACACAGGUUCUAAAUACCCUGGUCCCCAGCAUAAAACAGAUGCUCAAUGAAUGCUCAGCAAAUAAACAGUUCCUCAGCUAUCCAGCACAUUUUCCCCAAGGAAAUAAAAUUAUUCCAUGAGUACAGAGGAGCAACCUGAAUGCUUGAAGCUCACGUGAAUGAGGCCAAGUGGGAAGAAAAGAAAUUAUGUUUAGAAUAAGAAUUAUUGGUUUGAAGUUGCAACAUCAAAGCAAAAAAUAUAUGUAUAAGGUGUAAUGUAUAUUAUAAUAUAUAAAUAGUUUAUAAGGAAGGCAGCAACAUAAUUAAAGAUCAACAUAACUUAUUAAAUUUGGAGCAUUUAUGAUGAUAGCAAUUUAUCCAAGGUCAUAAUUUAAAUAAGUUAAGCAAAAUAUGGUUUACAUGUUGAUGAAUCGUUUGCAUCAUAUGGAAAGGAAAACAGGUUAAAGAUGACAUAAUGAUGAUUAGUGAUAUCAUAAAAAACAGCUAUGGAUAUUAGCUAGGCAAAGCUUUGUUGGAACUCUUAACUAGACUAAGAUACCCAUGAGUCUUACCAGAUAGGGGAAACACUUUGAAAGUGGUAUUUGUCAAGUAGGAAGAAUUCUAAAUGCUGGAAAACAAAUUAAGCAAUUUGGAAAAUCUGCAAAAAUCUAGUAAGGGAGGAAUUUCUGAUAAGUCUUCAUUGUGAAAUAUGUAAUACUUAAUAUAUGCCAGGCACAGCCCCACCCAACUUAUAUAAAUUAACAAAGUCCACCCAAGAGCUCCUGGAUGUAAGGGCAGUUGGUUUGUCUAUCUUACAUAUAACAAAAGGGAAACUAGAGACCAACACAUAUUCCUGUGGUUACUUAGCUGGCAAGUGGCACAGCCCAAACUGAAACUUAGUCCAUCCUACUUAAUCACUCCACAGUGAGUAUUUGAGAAGCUGUCAUGUAAUUUACAUAAUUUACCCAUUAAUUUUAUGUAAUCCUGAAACUUGUAUGAUUGUUACCAAGGUAAUCAGUUAGAUCAGAGCUCAGAGAGGUUAUCUUGCUAAUCUAAAAUGACACCAAGACUUGAAUCCAGAUCCCUCUGACCCCAACUUCCUUCCAUGACUCUGUUUAAUGUGCUAAACUAAACAGUGUCUGCGAGUGACUCUGAACAAACCUCUCAUCAGCAAAUGCCUCCACCAGCCUGGUGAAUUAGGUGAAUUAUUUAGAUGAUUUGAAGCACUUUCUCUUAAAGAUCUUUUGCUUUUUUAUGAUCGUUAAGCACUAUUUACCUUAGUGAAACCGGGAUUUUUCCUUACAUUUUUACGUCCUGUGAAGUGUCACAGAGAUGUGUUACUAUUCUUACUUUUUGUAUUUAAUGUUCUUAUUCCAAGACUUGCCACAUCUGCUGAAGCAUAGAAUAAUUUAUACAAAGCUGUGGACCUAGAGGAGUCAGCACCUUGGAGAGCUCCACGGGAUUAAGGCCAUGUCUCUCACAAAGGGUUGCUGGAUUAGGCAGGCUAUCUUUGCAAACUGCAGAAGCUCUCCUCCCAAACAAAAGAAAUUUGCUAUUCUCCUUACAGCCUGAACCAAAAUACAUAAAAACACCUGAAGAUCAAUGAACAAUUAUAUAGAGAGACACAUAGCCACCUCAUGUUCUUUUCUUAAGAAAUCAAGAGAGGCAAGUGAAGGUCAGUUAGUGCUAACUGUGCUGGAGAAUUAAAAUGCAGGAAGUUAGAAAUGGGAAGUUAUGUUUCCCCUAGUAACUGUAACUUGGCACAAUCUGUAGAAGGCAUAAAUAUAACAGCAAACACAGUACAUAAAAUAAUAUCAUGUAUGCAAGGAGCGAGUAAUGAUGGCUAGGAGGUUCAUAAUUUUGACUUUCCUGACUUUUAUGAGUUUAAAUUCUCAGACACAACAUUGCAUUAAUACAUGUCAUCUUCUUAGCCAAUCUUGAUUUUUGUCUCUCUCUGUGCAGUUUUCUGGAUCUUCUUAGCACUGUAUGGCUAAAACCUUUGAACUCUGACCUUCCAAAUUUGACUCUAGCCCAAGUCUUGAUUUUUAAGGGGAUUCAACUGAGAGGCAUGAGUAUUUUAUCUUGUACCUCAUUAAACAAGGAAAGAAAAGUAAAGGCAAACCUUUCAACUGAGCAUGGUUGCUAAACAGUGGGGGAAUGCAGAAUAAAUAAAACAAGUCACGCAUGGGGCCAGAAUGAAAGCUGCAACAAUCAUUUAAACCUGCUGGCUGAUGUUUUUAUUUAAUGCUGAGGGGUGUUUACAAUCCUGCAAUUGCCAGAGAAAGGUUUAUCCUGAUGAGUUAGACAAUAGCAGCAUGGGAGACUGUUUCACACUAGUUCUUUGCAAUGAACAUUUUAGGAGCCAUUCUGAGUCCAUGUCAGCAGGGCAACCAUCAAAUGAAACAGAAAGAAAGCAAGUGUCAGCCCCAGGAAUGAAUUCUGAUUUAGAGCAGAUACAGAGCCAUUUUCACUGCCCUCUGCUGCAGUGAUGGUCAGAUGGGAAACAGCGUUCAUCAUGGUAAAGUGCACACAUUCUCCAGCGCACACAUUCUCAACUCGCCACCCUAUUUGUGAGCUUUAGAGACAGUAAGAACCAAAACCUCCACUCCCUCACCUUCCAGGUUUCAUUUCACUCAUCUUCUCCCAGGAGCUCCAAACCAUAGUAGCAAUUCUCUGCCUGGAGAGAAUAACUUCGCCUCUGCAUCAAGCUAUUCAAUAUUCUAAGCAGCUCCAACAGGGCUCGAGCCCCUCCCUGAUUUCCUUCCCUGGAAAGCACUCAUAUUGAUCUCUCCAAGAUCUCAGAGCCAAAUGAAAGCAAAGGCCAUGGCAUUGGGGUGAAAUGCAGACUUGGGCCCUCCCCAUCAUCUUCCCCUCCUUUCCCAAACAGCUGUGCAGACAGAGUGAUGCUAGGGACUCUAUACUGGUUUCUCCCUUCUUCCUUCCCUGGGGCUGUGAACAGCACCCAUCUGUGUUCCUGCCUUUAGAACUUCAGGACCUGAGAUAAUUGGAGUCACUGUUUCAACUUUUCCUCUGAAAGAACCACUGCCAAGCCCACGGAUGAAAAACAAUUUUCCCUUUCUCAUGUUCAGGGUCACUCUGAUUUCUGGGAGUAAGUACCAUCUAAAUUUGUUUGGGUAGAGUUUUUCUGCCUAAUUAACAUCGUUCAUGAUUGUGGAUUCUCUUUUGUAAAAUUAAGAGUCUGGUUGUUUUUAAAAAUAGGGAAAAUAUGAGCAGGCAUGUUUAAUAUAACAUUUUACUCCUAAUGGUUAUUUACAUUGAAAGCAAAUGUGCUUUCUGAUUCAAUGAUAUUUUACAGUAUGAUAUACUUGCGAGGAUGUAGCACCACGGUAAUUGAGGAAACAGAAAGGAUUGUUUCCUUCCACCACCCUCCUCCUCCAAAGCAGGUUGAAAUAAUGAGACUGACACUCCAACCUUCUCCUGAAGCAGGUCGUAGGAGCCUCUUUCCAAAAAAUGUUUAAACUGAUUUAAACAUCACAUAAUAUAUAUGUGUGUGUACCAAAAUAUUGUA
Long non-coding RNA from Cavia porcellus (domestic guinea pig), 11503 nucleotides. RefSeq lists it as uncharacterized. NCBI's taxonomy places the organism in Eukaryota, Metazoa, Chordata, Mammalia, Rodentia, Caviidae. The record is from RefSeq and is a predicted model, not a curated record. The transcript is spliced from 4 exons.